AGAGUUUGAUCCUGGCUCAGGAUGAACGCUAGCGGCAGGCUUAAUACAUGCAAGUCGAGGGGCAGCACGUCUUCGGAUGGUGGCGACCGGCGCACGGGUGCGUAACACGUAUGCAACCUACCUUUAACUGGGGAAUAGCCCCGAGAAAUCGGGAUUAAUACCCCAUAAUAUUCAUUUUUCGCAUGAUUUAUGAAUUAAAACUCCGGUGGUUAAAGAUGGGCAUGCGCGACAUUAGUUAGUUGGUGAGGUAACGGCUCACCAAGACAGCGAUGUCUAGGGGUUCUGAGAGGAAUAUCCCCACACUGGUACUGAGACACGGACCAGACUCCUACGGGAGGCAGCAGUAAGGAAUAUUGGUCAAUGGGCGAAAGCCUGAACCAGCCAUGCCGCGUGCAGGAUGAAGGCCCUAUGGGUUGUAAACUGCUUUUAUAUAGGAAGAAACUCCCGUACGUGUACGGGACUGACGGUACUAUACGAAUAAGGACCGGCUAACUCCGUGCCAGCAGCCGCGGUAAUACGGAGGGUCCAAGCGUUAUCCGGAUUUAUUGGGUUUAAAGGGUGCGCAGGCGGACCGAUAAGUCAGUGGUGAAAUCCUACAGCUCAACUGUAGAACUGCCAUUGAUACUGUCGAUCUUGAGUACGGUUGAAGUAGGCGGAAUGUAUCAUGUAGCGGUGAAAUGCAUAGAUAUGAUACAGAACUCCGAUAGCGAAGGCAGCUUACUAAGCCGUAACUGACGCUCAGGCACGAAAGCGUGGGGAGCAAACAGGAUUAGAUACCCUGGUAGUCCACGCCGUAAACGAUGAUCACUCGUUGUUGGCAAUACACAGUCAGCGACUGAACGAAAGCAUUAAGUGAUCCACCUGGGAAGUACGAUCGCAAGGUUGAAACUCAAAGGAAUUGACGGGGGCCCGCACAAGCGGAGGAGCAUGUGGUUUAAUUCGAUGAUACGCGAGGAACCUUACCUGGGCUUAAAUGUAUAAUGACCGGCUGGGAAGCCAGUCUUCUCUUCGGAGCAUUUUACAAGGUGCUGCAUCGUUGUCGUCAGCUCGUGCCGUGAGGUGUCGGGUUAAGUCCCAUAACGAGCGCAACCCCUAUUCUUAGUUGCCAUCAGAUAAUGCUGGGGACUCUAAGGAAACUGCCUACGCAAGUAGUGAGGAAGGUGGGGAUGACGUCAAAUCAGCACGGCCCUUAUGUCCAGGGCUACACACGUGCUACAAUGGUCGGUACAGAGGGUCGCUACCUGGUGACAGGAUGCUAAUCUCAAAAACCGAUCUCAGUUCAGAUCGAAGUCUGCAACUCGACUUCGUGAAGCUGGAUUCGCUAGUAAUCGCAUAUCAGCAAUGGUGCGGUGAAUACGUUCCCGGGCCUUGUACACACCGCCCGUCACACCAUGGGAGUUGGUUGCACCAGAAGUAGGUAGCUUAACCUUCGGGAGGGCGCUUACCACGGUGUGGUCAAUGACUGGGGUGAAGUCG
This 1476-nucleotide ribosomal RNA is filed under the name metagenome. RNAcentral describes it as "bacterial SSU rRNA". It matches the Rfam family "Bacterial small subunit ribosomal RNA". The record is from RNAcentral.